Molecule: transfer RNA, 69 nt
Filed under: Ictidomys tridecemlineatus (thirteen-lined ground squirrel)
Lineage: Eukaryota; Metazoa; Chordata; Mammalia; Rodentia; Sciuridae
Description: Spermophilus tridecemlineatus (thirteen-lined ground squirrel) tRNA
Rfam family: tRNA
About the family: Transfer RNA (tRNA) molecules are approximately 80 nucleotides in length. Their secondary structure includes four short double-helical elements and three loops (D, anti-codon, and T loops).
Source: Rfam by way of RNAcentral
GGGGAUGUAGCUCAAUGGUAGAGCUCUUGCCUUGCAGGCAGGAGGCAGUAAGUUUAAUAUCCAUCACUG